GGAGGGGAGCCAGGCACAGCUCGUAGUCCCCAAGGACUCAGACAAGGCACAGCAGGUCUGACAACAGCAGCCAGGCACAGGCAAGAGUCCCAGACUGCCAGGCAGGGCCAUGGUGACGAGAUGGGUCCAAAGUCAAGCUCAGAAGUCUGCCUGUGGAUCUGGGGCAGGGUGUGGCUCUCUGAAAGCUGACUCAAUUUACUGAGGAGUCAGAGGAAUACCAGUCAGAGCAAACAAGGAGGCAUUUUGGCUGGAAGUAGAGGACCACAGAGAGAAAGAGCUAGAAACACUCACUGCCCUGAGAGAAGACCGCUGUUCCUGGACGCCUCGAUAAAGCAAUUCCUUCCGUCUCACCCAGCUGUGCUACUUUACAUAAACAGGUUCUGUCUGAAGAAGUUGGUGAGGAAGUCAACUACUCUGGGCAUUUGUGUUUGCAAAAUAUUAUUCCAACAAGCAGAAUACACACAGUAAAGUUUCUUUGCUUUUACUGAGGAGACCACAGACCCUCCUUAAGUGUAUUUCAGAGCAAUAGUACAUGCUUGCCAGGGCUGUAUUUGCAGCUUCUUUCUGCUUGCAGUCCUUCACUUUCAUUUCCCCCUUUCAUGCUGUUACACUGUUCCAAAGCUGUAACCAGGAAACUCCUCUGCUCACAUAGUUCACAUUUCUAAGUGGAUUAAUGUGCAAAUGCAUGUUUUCACAAAUUGGCUGAAAAACAGAAGACAAAUAAACAUAAGCAAAUGACUGAAAGGUUUGCCA
Molecule: long non-coding RNA, 753 nt
Filed under: Anas platyrhynchos platyrhynchos (common mallard)
Lineage: Eukaryota; Metazoa; Chordata; Aves; Anseriformes; Anatidae
Description: lncRNA (ENSAPLG00000020798.1)
Source: RNAcentral